UACGUAGGGGGCUAGCGUUGUCCGGAAUCAUUGGGCGUAAAGAGCGCGUAGGCGGCUCGGUAAGUCCGCUGUAAAAGUCAAAGGCUUAACCUUUGAAUGUCAGUGGAAACUGCCGGGCUAGAGUCCGGAAGAGGCGAGUGGAAUUCCUGGUGUAGCGGUGGAAUGCGCAGAUAUCAGGAGGAACACCGAUGGCGAAGGCAGGUCUCUGGGCCACUACUGACGCUGAGAAGCGAAAGCAUGGGGAGCGAACAGG
This 253-nucleotide ribosomal RNA is filed under the name uncultured bacterium. RNAcentral describes it as "partial 16S ribosomal RNA". It matches the Rfam family "Bacterial small subunit ribosomal RNA", at positions 524 to 776 of the family's 1533-position model. The record is from RNAcentral.